GCAGCAGAAACGUUGUCGGCGCAUGAACAUGCAUCCAGUUUCAUGUUUAAAUGCGUGCGUGAAGGUUGGAUAUUUUGAGAGUGCAAAAGGAGCCCUAGUCCCGCAAACGAAACAAGCCACAAGAAGUGGGUCAAAAUUUAUUUGAAAACUAAACAAAACAACGCACCAAACAUGAACAUUCAAAUCACAACAACAUACACACGCAGACGCCAAAAAUAAGUAAAAGCACACGCAGAGAGUUUACGGCACUGUUAAAAACUACAUAGAUGAUGAGCAAGCGCAGCUAUAACAAGAACAACAACAGGAGCAGCAGCGACAACAGCAACAAUAACAACAACAGAGCAAGAAGCAACACUCAUACACACACACACUCGCACACACACACAUGUAGAGAGAGAAACGAGGAGGCAUGAUUAUUAUGUUGUGUUUUUAGUCGAAUGUAUCUUUUAGUCGGGAAAAGGAAUACACGAAUGUCGGAGUCGCAACGGGCCACAAACGAAUUACGCAUAAGAUCUCACGGUCUUGCUACUUACUAUAAAAGAAUCUCGCAUUUUCGAAACGCAUCAAAAAAAAUAACAGAAAAA
Drosophila innubila is the source of this 584-nucleotide long non-coding RNA. RefSeq lists it as uncharacterized. Lineage: Eukaryota; Metazoa; Arthropoda; Insecta; Diptera; Drosophilidae. The record is from RefSeq and is a predicted model, not a curated record. The transcript is spliced from 2 exons.